This 468-nucleotide ribosomal RNA is filed under the name uncultured bacterium. Its description in RNAcentral is "partial 16S ribosomal RNA". It matches the Rfam family "Bacterial small subunit ribosomal RNA", at positions 28 to 507 of the family's 1533-position model. The record is from RNAcentral.
GAUGAACGCUGGCGGCGUGCUUAAUACAUGCAAGUCGAACGGAAAGGCCCUGCGCUUGCGGCUUGCUCGUGUGGCGCGCGGGGGAGUAAAACGCGUGUAACCCCCACCUGUCUGUGUGAUAUCUCCUGGAAACAGCGGCGCUAAUCGCGGAUAAGAUACUGCUGCACGGGGUGGGAUGGAAAGUUUCGGCGGUUGGGGAUGGACUCGCGGCUUAUCAGCUUGUUGGUGGGGUAGGGGAUUACCAAGGUUUUGACGGGUAGCCGGCCUGAGAGGGUGACCGGCCACAUUGGGACUGAGAUACGGCCCAGACUCCUACGGGAGGCAGCAGUGGGGAAUAUUGCACAAUGGGCGGAAGCCUGAUGCAGCAACGCCGCGUGCGGGAUGACGGCCUUCGGGUUGUAAACCGCUUUCGCCUGUGACGAAGCGUGAGUGACGGUAAUGGGUAAAGAAGCACCGGCUAACUACGUG